AACGAACGCUGGCGGCAUGCCUAACACAUGCAAGUCGAACGAGACCUUCGGGUCUAGUGGCGCACGGGUGCGUAACGCGUGGGAACCUGCCCUUAGGUUCGGAAUAACUCCCCGAAAGGGGUGCUAAUACCGGAUAAUGUCUUCGGACCAAAGAUUUAUCGCCUUUGGAUGGGCCCGCGUUGGAUUAGCUAGUUGGUAGGGUAAAAGCCUACCAAGGCGACGAUCCAUAGCUGGUCUGAGAGGAUGAUCAGCCACACUGGGACUGAGACACGGCCCAGACUCCUACGGGAGGCAGCAGUGGGGAAUAUUGGACAAUGGGCGAAAGCAUGAUCCAGCAAUGCCGCGUGAGUGAUGAAGGCCUUAGGGUUGUAAAGCUCUUUUAACCGGGAUGAUAAUGACAGUACCGGGAGAAUAAGCCCCGGCUAACUCCGUG
Molecule: ribosomal RNA, 433 nt
Filed under: uncultured bacterium
Lineage: Bacteria
Description: partial 16S ribosomal RNA
Rfam family: Bacterial small subunit ribosomal RNA
Source: RNAcentral